Molecule: long non-coding RNA, 383 nt
Organism: Bubalus bubalis (water buffalo)
Lineage: Eukaryota; Metazoa; Chordata; Mammalia; Artiodactyla; Bovidae
Exons: 3
Source: RefSeq, a predicted model, not a curated record
CCGCCGCCGCCCUUCUUCACCUUCAUGGCCUCGCGGGGCCGCGGCUCGCCUGCUGCCGCCGCGGCUGCCUGCGCCGGCUGGAGCCGAGAGAAGGGGGAGCGUCCGCAGCCCCGCCCCCGGCCGGACCGGGGCCCCAGGGCCCUCCAGGACAGGAAGGCAGGAAGGGCAUCUGGCCAGGUGGAAGUAAAAUGGACCAAUGAGCCCAGGAAGACAGGAGGAAACCAUGACUUACACACAAAUGAAGAAUGAAAGUCGACACAGGUCCGGGCAACAGCUCUAUCUCUGUGGGCUAGAAACUAAGAGAUGGCACACUGAGCAAGAAGAAACAAACCACUGGCAAGUUUGAUACAAGCAGACAGACAUGGCAAAGAGGCAAGUACAAG